RNAcentral lists this non-coding RNA (999 nucleotides) under Lophornis magnificus (frilled coquette). RNAcentral's name for it is "12S ribosomal RNA". It matches the Rfam family "Bacterial small subunit ribosomal RNA". The record is from RNAcentral. Lineage: Eukaryota; Metazoa; Chordata; Aves; Apodiformes; Trochilidae.
AAAAGACUUAGUCCUAACCUUACCGUUGAUUAUUGCCAAACAUAUACAUGCAAGUAUCCACACCCCAGUGAACAUUUCCAUGCAGGUAUCCGCACUCCAGUGUAAAUGCCCCAAACGUCUUACAAAGACAAAAGGAGCAGGUAUCAGGCACACCCAACCGCAGCCCAAGACACCUUGCCCAGCCACACCCCCACGGGUACUCAGCAGUAAUUAACAUUAAGCAAUAAGUGUAAACUUGACUUAGUUAUGGCAAAUUUAGGGCUGGUUAAUCUUGUGCCAGCCGCCGCGGUCAUACAAGAAACCCAAACCAACGGCAGCACGGCGUAAAGAGUGACAUAGCUAUAUCACCCCAAGCUAAGACCGAAGCACAACUGAGCUGUCAUAAGCACAAGAUGUGCAGAAGAACCCCAAAAAGAUCUCAGCCAACACGACCUAAUUACUGUCACGAAAGCUAAGACACAAACUGGGAUUAGAUACCCCACUAUGCUUAGCCCUAAAUCUUGGCACUUCCCCAACUAAAGUGUCCGCCUGAGAACUACGAGCACAAACGCUUAAAACUCUAAGGACUUGGCGGUGCCCCAAACCCACCUAGAGGAGCCUGUUCUACAAUCGAUAACCCACGCUACACCCGACCGCUCUUUGCCUACUCAGCCUACAUACCGCCGUCGUCAGUCCACCUAUCCUGAGAGAACAGCAGUGAGCACAAUAGCCCUAACCACGCUAAAAAGACAGGUCAAGGUAUAGCCCAUAGAGCGGGAGAAAUGGGCUACAUUUUCUAACCUAGAAAAUCACGAAAGGGGAUAUGAAACCCUCCCCAGAAGGAGGAUUUAGUAGUAAAGUUGGAUCACAGCGCCACCUUAAAACUGGCCCCGGGGCACGUACAUACCGCCCGUCACCCUCCUCGCAAGCCAUCUGCACAGGUAAGUAACACCAACCCAUAGCCAAAGAUGAGGUAAGUCGUAACAAGGUAAGUGUACCGGAAGGUGUACUUAGUAUACC